GACAAAAGCAAGUUCUACAGAGAGAGAUCACAUGGUGAGAGAGGCAGCAAGACGGAGACCAAAUUUGCUUUACAAAAUCAUAUCCUCUCAAGAACUAAUCUACCCUGGAAUAACAGCAUUAAUCCCUUCUGAGGAUGGAACUUCCGUGACCUAACAACCUGCACAAGGCUCACCUCUUACAGGCUCUCCCACUUCCACAUUGCCUCCCUGGGGAACAAGGUUCCAGCACAGGAGUCUUUAAGGAACACACUCUAACAACAUCCAAACCACAGCAAUUUGUAUAGCCAGCCUCUCAGCAUUCACUGAGUUCUUGAAGCUAAGAGUGCAAGCCAUCUAUAUGUGUUUGAAGUCCAGAUAUGCUGUUUGAAGUUGAGAUAUGCUGUCUCCAACUUUGCUGCAUCCUGGGCUGGAGGCAAAGGGGUUCCAGAAGGUCCAGAUGUCCAACUUCUUUUAACUGCAUCAGGCUGAGAAGGGGCCAUGACCAUCCCUAACCAAGGACCAAAAGUCUCAUCCUGUCUGAUCUAAAGGAGACAUAGGAAUAUCAGGUUCCUUCUUUUUUUUUUUUUUUUUUUGAAGAACCAUCAUCCUCUGAUAGUCUGAAAAAGAGAGCAAGGGCAUAAGAGAUACUAGCCCACAUCAGCAAUGGAUCAGACAAUAUAAAAGAAUCC
Long non-coding RNA from Heterocephalus glaber (naked mole-rat), 668 nucleotides. Lineage: Eukaryota; Metazoa; Chordata; Mammalia; Rodentia; Bathyergidae. The record is from Ensembl.